RNAcentral lists this transfer-messenger RNA (348 nucleotides) under Acidobacteriota bacterium. It matches the Rfam family "transfer-messenger RNA". Rfam says of the family: Bacterial tmRNA, also known as 10Sa RNA or SsrA, is named for its dual tRNA and mRNA-like properties. The record is from RNAcentral. Lineage: Bacteria; Pseudomonadati; Acidobacteriota.
GGGGGCGCAUGGCUUCGACGGGAGAUCAUGCGGUUCGGGGGUUGCGUGCCGAGUCCGACUCGUUAACCGGAUUUUUGACACUCGCCAACGACGAAUUGGCACUGGCGGCUUAGAAGCCGUCACGGUCCUGCCGGAGCCUUGAUUCGCGGCGCCGUCAGGAGCGACACUCAAAGUGGAUCAAACGCCUGAGCGCGGCUCUGAACUCAGGCCGGAUCACUUCGGGGCUAGACCGCUGGCCGUGGUGGCCUUCUACCCAAGCCGGCGGCGACUGAUCGAGUGAAGGCUACGCACGUAGAUCCCUCGCGCCGAGUCUCGCGGACGUGGGUUCGAUUCCCACCGCCUCCACCA